RNAcentral lists this ribosomal RNA (433 nucleotides) under uncultured bacterium. RNAcentral's name for it is "partial 16S ribosomal RNA". It matches the Rfam family "Bacterial small subunit ribosomal RNA", at positions 29 to 507 of the family's 1533-position model. The record is from RNAcentral.
AACGAACGCUGGCGGCAUGCCUAACACAUGCAAGUCGAACGAGACCUUCGGGUCUAGUGGCGCACGGGUGCGUAACGCGUGGGAACCUGCCCUUAGGUUCGGAAUAACUCCCCGAAAGGGGUGCUAAUACCGGAUAAUGUCUUCGGACCAAAGAUUUAUCGCCUUUGGAUGGGCCCGCGUUGUAUUAGCUAGUUGGUAGGGUAAAAGCCUACCAAGGCGACGAUCCAUAGCUGGUCUGAGAGGAUGAUCAGCCACACUGGGACUGAGACACGGCCCAGACUCUUACGGGAAGCAGCAGUGGGGAAUAUUGGACAAUGGGCGAAAGGCUGAUCCAGCAAUGACGCGUGAGUGAUGAAGGCCUUAGGGUUGUAAAGCUCUUUUACCCGGGAUGAUAAUGACAGUACCGGGAGAAUAAGCUCCGGCUAACUCCGUG